CAGUACAGGGUGAGCAUGUGCAGCGGCUGGACGGGCAGCUCCAGGCCGGCGACGGACCUGACCAGCUUGCUCGUCCAAGCGCCGACGGUCACGAUGCAUUUGGCGCCGUGGAACUCCUCGCCGUCGCUCGUCGUCACCCGGACGCCAGGCCCUCCCUCCUCCUUGACGAUACCGACGACCUCCUUGUUGUCCCUGAGGACGGCGCCCUUCUUGACGGCCAGCGCCUGGAACAUGGCGACGGCCUUGGUGGCGUCCAGCACGCCGCCGCCGAGCUCGCUCACGGCCGUCACCCACCCGUCCGGGACGCGGAACACGCCGCCUCCCCACCUCCCGGCCACGUCCACCUCCGCGGCGCCCCCGUUCCCGACGGCGGCGAGGAGCGCGGCGUUGCUGCGCGGGCCCAUGGCGAGGUGCGGCGACGGGGUGAGCACGCGGUAGCCGGCGUCGGCCUGGGCGUCGCCCCAGAGGCGGCGGGCGAGGCGGACCAUGGGCGGGUAGCGCGCCUUCGGGUAG
This 513-nucleotide ribosomal RNA is filed under the name Triticum aestivum (bread wheat). RNAcentral's name for it is "partial small subunit ribosomal RNA". Lineage: Eukaryota; Viridiplantae; Streptophyta; Magnoliopsida; Poales; Poaceae. The record is from RNAcentral.